This is a long non-coding RNA of Cebus imitator (Panamanian white-faced capuchin), 288 nucleotides long. RefSeq lists it as uncharacterized. The record is from RefSeq and is a predicted model, not a curated record. The transcript is spliced from 3 exons. Lineage: Eukaryota; Metazoa; Chordata; Mammalia; Primates; Cebidae.
UUGUGUGAGUGUAUAAAUAGCUGAUCUCCUUUUUGAGCCCUCUUCAGCGUCACCCUAGAAUCAGAUCUGCUCCCCAGCAUCUUCUGUUUCCUGGCGAGUGCUUUCUGCUACCUUGGAUUUUCCAUGACGGGCUGGAGCUGCCUUGUGACGGGAGCAGGAGGGUUUCUGGGUCGGAGGAUCGUCUGCCUGUUGGUGGAGGAGAAGGAGCUGAAGGAGAUCAGGGCCUUGGACAAGGCCUUCAGACCAGGAUUGAGGGAAGAAAUUUCUAAGCCCAGAAGAAAACCAAGG